UACAAGACUGGAGGUUAACAUAGACGGCAAACAUUUCCUCAGAUUAUAAACUAUACAUGAAUGAGCAGGCUAGUACACAUGAAUCAGCAAGAUUGUUUGUUCAUAUCUUCAGGAUUUUUAAAUGUCAAUCUGUCCAUUUCUUCAGGCUUACUUGCUUCUUCAACUCAGCUGACUAAAAGCUAACAAAAAAACAUGAAUAAGCACUCUGAGUCAGAAUUCGAAACUUGGCAAAUUUUAGAAGUACAAUACGGAGAAAAAUGAGCUGAGUUAAAUAAAAGUACAUUACAAAGAUGCCAUUUUUUACACAAUUAUAGAACACAAGGAUGCAUUCAGUAAAUCAUAGGAGAAAAGAACUUAAGGAAAUUUCGGUAACACUUGUAAACUUGUUUUGUUAUCUUCUGCACAUCAUUCAGGUCCUACUGGAAGGUGUGCGUGAUGCUUGUAGGCAAAAGAAACAACACUGUGUAGUACAUGAUCCGGAUUUGAGAAGGUUAAAUGACUGAAUUAUUUUUUGAUUCAGGCCAAAAAAUAAUACACUAUGUAGUACAUGUACGCACAACAGAAUAGAUGAUUCAGGCCAAAAAAACAUAAGAAAUUUACCAUUGUGUCUAAUCAAGCUAUAUAUGCAUACCUUGGAUCUUCUUCCUCUGGCAUGCAUAAAAUUGGAUACAUAAAUAAGAAAGCCCUCCUGACAAAUCUGAUCAGUCGAGUCUUUCAGUUACUCUUUGCAGACUCUGCACAAAUAUGCACUCUGCUCCAUCAGUACAACCAGUAAGUCAUUGUAAACCUGUGGCCAAUGCCCUUGUUAUAAAUGCAUUCUGCUUCCAUCUUCCAUCGGCCCAGCAUGCUAAUGCAUAGCUCGAAAGAUGAAACCCUGGAGAGGGAUAUGAUGCCAAAGCACCUGUCAUCGUCCGAUCACAUGAAUCUAGAGUUUCCUCCGAAGCAGCAUAAAUUGCGGCUGAGAAUACCUCGGCGAUGCCCAUAGGAAGGAAGCGACACUCGAAAGCUUCGCCAUCACCGGCUCUUGGAAACUCCGGAGACAAGCUUUCGCCCAGAUCAACCUCUUGAGCUCCGCACAACAUGCACCAGCAAGUCCAACGUCGAGCCACGAUGGCCAAAUCCGUCCGGAUCUAACCACCUGCUCACCAGGGCACCGCACUGGCCACCCCACGUCCUCUUCACGCACCGCCGAAGCACAUGCACACACGCAGCCGCCCACACAUCCACCUGUCCAGGACGCCGCCGAGGAGCACACCAGCCGGAACCGCGCAUCGCAGAUACACCCAGCCCCUCCCCCCUUCUUGAUUAGUCCACCAACGAGCCCUCGUGGACAGAUGUGGCCCAAUCAAGCCCUCCCUCCAACUCCUCGGUAGGAUGCUGCCCAACCAUCCCUCUACCGCCGGACUACCACGCCAGCGCUCCCCAUGUUGUUGUUGAACUUGUAGCCAUACGAUUUGUAUUGCCUGACAGAUGAAUAUUUACCAGAUAAACACGUAAAGAAGAUAAGCCGCUCUUCAUUCCUAUAAGCCCUUAGUAGACCAUCAGAUCCUUCUUUUUGCACAUGCACGCCAUAUUAUUGCAGAGAUGAUGGGGGAAGCAAAGAAGUUAUGCCUCUCUGUGCGUGCAUUGCGAGGAACCCCCAACAAGUAUUGAACUCUUGAUAUGAAUCCUUGUCGGGAGGGGCAAGCAAGGAUGAUAAAUCAUCUAGGGUAACAUGAAAAGGUUAAGUGAUGUUGCUGCACCUCAAGUGUUCUUAGGAAUCCUCGUGGUUCCUCUUGAUUAUGCAUCUUCAUGAACAAAACAAAAUCUUGAGCUCUUCGUUC
This 1823-nucleotide long non-coding RNA is filed under the name Triticum aestivum (bread wheat). RNAcentral describes it as "long non-coding RNA (TAES_LNC022781)". Lineage: Eukaryota; Viridiplantae; Streptophyta; Magnoliopsida; Poales; Poaceae. The record is from RNAcentral.